This 1363-nucleotide ribosomal RNA is filed under the name metagenome. Its description in RNAcentral is "bacterial LSU rRNA". It matches the Rfam family "Bacterial large subunit ribosomal RNA", at positions 1570 to 2910 of the family's 2925-position model. The record is from RNAcentral.
GAGGCACUACGGUGCUGAAGCAACAAAUGCCCUGCUUCCAGGAAAAGCCUCUAAGCAUCAGGUAACAUCAAAUCGUACCCCAAACCGACACAGGUGGUCAGGUAGAGAAUACCAAGGCGCUUGAGAGGACUCGGGUGAAGGAACUAGGCAAAAUGGUGCCGUAACUUCGGGAGAAGGCACGCUGAUAUGUAGGUGAGGUCCCUCGCGGAUGGAGCUGAAAUCAGUCGAAGAUACCAGCUGGCUGCAACUGUUUAUUAAAAACACAGCACUGUGCAAACACGAAAGUGGACGUAUACGGUGUGACGCCUGCCCGGUGCCGGAAGGUUAAUUGAUGGGGUUAGCGCAAGCGAAGCUCUUGAUCGAAGCCCCGGUAAACGGCGGCCGUAACGAUAACGGUCCUAAGGUAGCGGAAUUCCUUGUCGGGUAAGUUCCGACCUGCACGAAUGGCGUAAUGAUGGCCAGGCUGUCUCCACCCGAGACUCAGUGAAAUUGAACUCGCUGUGAAGAUGCAGUGUACCCGCGGCAAGACGGAAAGACCCCGUGAACCUUUACUAUAGCUUGACACUGAACAUUGAGCCUUGAUGUGUAGGAUAGGUGGGAGGCUUUGAAGUGUGGACGCCAGUCUGCAUGGAGCCGACCUUGAAAUACCACCCUUUAAUGUUUGAUGUUCUAACGUUGACCCGUAAUCCGGGUUGCGGACAGUGUCUGGUGGGUAGUUUGACUGGGGCGGUCUCCUCCUAAAGAGUAACGGAGGAGCACGAAGGUUGGCUAAUCCUGGUCGGACAUCAGGAGGUUAGUGCAAUGGCAUAAGCCAGCUUGACUGCGAGCGUGACGGCGCGAGCAGGUGCGAAAGCAGGUCAUAGUGAUCCGGUGGUUCUGAAUGGAAGGGCCAUCGCUCAACGGAUAAAAGGUACUCCGGGGAUAACAGGCUGAUACCGCCCAAGAGUUCAUAUCGACGGCGGUGUUUGGCACCUCGAUGUCGGCUCAUCACAUCCUGGGGCUGAAGUAGGUCCCAAGGGUAUGGCUGUUCGCCAUUUAAAGUGGUACGCGAGCUGGGUUUAGAACGUCGUGAGACAGUUCGGUCCCUAUCUGCCGUGGGCGCUGGAGAACUGAGGGGGGCUGCUCCUAGUACGAGAGGACCGGAGUGGACGCAUCACUGGUGUUCGGGUUGUCAUGCCAAUGGCACUGCCCGGUAGCUAAAUGCGGAAGAGAUAAGUGCUGAAAGCAUCUAAGCACGAAACUUGCCCCGAGAUGAGUUCUCCCUGACCCUUUAAGGGUCCUGAAGGAACGUUGAAGACGACGACGUUGAUAGGCCGGGUGCGUAAGCGCAGCGAUGCGUUGAGCUAACCGGUACUAAUGAACC